RNAcentral lists this ribosomal RNA (429 nucleotides) under Chloroflexota bacterium. RNAcentral's name for it is "Chloroflexi bacterium partial 16S ribosomal RNA". It matches the Rfam family "Bacterial small subunit ribosomal RNA", at positions 355 to 776 of the family's 1533-position model. The record is from RNAcentral. Lineage: Bacteria; Bacillati; Chloroflexota.
UGGGGAAUAUUGCACAAUGGGCGCAAGCCUGAUGCAGCCAUGCCGCGUGUGUGAAGAAGGCCUUCGGUUUUUAAAGCACUUUCAGCGGGGAGGAAGGCGUUAAGGUUAAUAACCUUGGCGAUUGACGUUACCCGCAGAAGAAGCACCGGCUAACUCCGUGCCAGCAGCCGCGGUAAUACGGAGGGUGCAAGCGUUAAUCGGAAUUACUGGGCGUAAAGCGCACGCAGGCGGUUUGUUAAGUCAGAUGUGAAAUCCCCGGGCUCAACCUGGGAACUGGCUCUGAUACUGGCAAGCUUGAGUCUCGUAGAGGGGGGUAGAAUUCCAGGUGUAGCGGUGAAAUGCGUAGAGAUCUGGAGGAAUACCGGUGGCGAAGGCGGCCCCCUGGACAAAGACUGACGCUCAGGUGCGAAAGCGUGGGGAGCAAACAGG